UGGCGGACGGGUGAGUAACGCGUGGGGUAACCUGCCUCAUACAGGGGGAUAACAGUUAGAAAUGACUGCUAAUACCGCAUAAGCGCACAGGACCGCAUGGUCCGGUGUGAAAAACUCCGGUGGUAUGAGAUGGACCCGCGUCUGAUUAGCUGGUUGGUGAGGUAACGGCCCACCAAGGCGACGAUCAGUAGCCGGCCUGAGAGGGUGAACGGCCACAUUGGGACUGAGACACGGCCCAAACUCCUACGGAAGGCAGCAG
This 259-nucleotide ribosomal RNA is filed under the name uncultured bacterium. Its description in RNAcentral is "partial 16S ribosomal RNA". It matches the Rfam family "Bacterial small subunit ribosomal RNA", at positions 96 to 354 of the family's 1533-position model. The record is from RNAcentral.